CCUUAUUCACCAAUUUAUUUUCUUCUUUAGCCUUUUCCUCCUCUGGGGUAUUUUUCACAUUUGGUCCUUUAUCUUUUUAUAUUUAUAUUUUGAAUAUUUACACUAAUGCCACAACCAUUUUCACAUUUUUAUGAUUUAGUCCCUGCCUUAAAUUAAUAUGUCAUGUCACACUUCUUGGUUUAUCUUCCUUUGGUAUCCAACGGGCUUUACUUUUGUCGAUCUUGCACCUUAUUUUACUAAGAAUCUA
Molecule: long non-coding RNA, 247 nt
Filed under: Gossypium barbadense (sea-island cotton)
Lineage: Eukaryota; Viridiplantae; Streptophyta; Magnoliopsida; Malvales; Malvaceae
Description: long non-coding RNA (GBAR_LNC006210)
Source: RNAcentral